UACGUAGGGGGCAAGCGUUGUCCGGAUUUAUUGGGCGUAAAGAGCGUGUAGGCGGCCAUACAGGUCCGUUGUGAAAACUGGAGGCUUAACCUCCAGACGUCGAUGGAAACCGUAUGGCUAGAGUCCGGAAGAGGGGAGUGGAAUUCCUGGUGUAGCGGUGAAAUGCGCAGAUAUCAGGAAGAACACCCGUGGCGAAAGCGGCUCUCUGGAACGGUACUGACGCUGAGACGCGAAAGCGUGGGGAGCGAACAGG
RNAcentral lists this ribosomal RNA (253 nucleotides) under uncultured bacterium. Its description in RNAcentral is "partial 16S ribosomal RNA". It matches the Rfam family "Bacterial small subunit ribosomal RNA", at positions 524 to 776 of the family's 1533-position model. The record is from RNAcentral.